AGAGUUGAUCAUGGCUCAGGAUGAACGCUGGCGGCGUGCCUAAUACAUGCAAGUCGAACGAGGUAGCAAUACCGAGUGGCGAACGGGUGAGUAACACGUAGGUAACCUGCCCUUAAGCUUGGGAUACCCAGAGGAAACUUGGCUAAUACCGGAUAACAACAGAGAAGGCAUCUUCUUUGCUUGAAAGGCCCCUUCAAGGGUCACUUAAGGAUGGACCUGCGGCGCAUUAGCUAGUUGGUGAGAUAACAGCCCACCAAGGCGAGGAUGCGUAGCCGAACUGAGAGGUUGAUCGGCCACAUUGGAACUGAGACACGGUCCAAACUCCUACGGGAGGCAGCAGUAAGGAGUUUUCGGCAAUGGGGGAAACCCUGACCGAGCAACGCCGCGUGAGCGAUGACGGUCCUUUGGGAAUUGUAAAGCUCUGUUGUAAGCCAUGAAUGACAGCUUGAGGAAAUGCAAGUUGUUUGACGACAGCUUACCAGAAAGCCACGGCUAACUACGUGCCAGCCGCUGC
RNAcentral lists this ribosomal RNA (514 nucleotides) under uncultured bacterium. RNAcentral's name for it is "bacterial SSU rRNA". It matches the Rfam family "Bacterial small subunit ribosomal RNA", at positions 8 to 518 of the family's 1533-position model. The record is from RNAcentral.